GGAGGAAAAGAAACUAACAAGGAUUCCCCUAGUAGCGGCGAGCGAAGCGGGAAGAGCUCAAAUUUAUAAUCUGGCGCUUUCGGCGUCCGAGUUGUAAUCUCUAGAAGUGUUUUCCGCGUUGGACCGCACAUAAGUCUGUUGGAAUACAGCGGCACAGUGGUGAGACCCCCGUUCACGGUGCGGAUGCCCAAUGCUUUGUGAUACACUUUCGAAGAGUCGAGUUGUUUGGGAAUGCAGCUCAAAUUGGGUGGUAAAUUCCAUCUAAAGCUAAAUAUUGGCGAGAGACCGAUAGCGAACAAGUACCGUGAGGGAAAGAUGAAAAGCACUUUGGAAAGAGAGUUAACAGUACGUGAAAUUGUUGGAAGGGAAACGCUUGAAGUCAGACUUGCUAUUCGGGGCUUGCUCCGAGUUGCAGGCCAGCAUCAGUUUUUCGGGGCGGAAAAUCACGGAUUGAAGGUAGCAGUUUCGGCUGUGUUAUAGCUUUCCGUUGGAUACGUCCUGGGGGACUGAGGAACACAGUGUGCUUUAGCGAGGGCUUCGCUCUU
This 545-nucleotide ribosomal RNA is filed under the name Rhodosporidiobolus ruineniae. RNAcentral describes it as "eukaryotic LSU rRNA". It matches the Rfam family "Eukaryotic large subunit ribosomal RNA", at positions 52 to 602 of the family's 3401-position model. The record is from RNAcentral. Lineage: Eukaryota; Fungi; Basidiomycota; Microbotryomycetes; Sporidiobolales; Sporidiobolaceae.